RNAcentral lists this ribosomal RNA (253 nucleotides) under uncultured bacterium. RNAcentral's name for it is "partial 16S ribosomal RNA". It matches the Rfam family "Bacterial small subunit ribosomal RNA", at positions 524 to 776 of the family's 1533-position model. The record is from RNAcentral.
UACAGAGGGUGCGAGCGUUAAUCGGAAUUACUGGGCGUAAAGGGCGCGUAGGCGGUUUGUUGGGUGUGAUGUGAAAGCCCUGGGCUUAACCUGGGAAGUGCAUCGCAAACUAACUAACUGGAGUAGAUGAGAGGGUGGCGGAAUUUCCGGUGUAGCGGUGAAAUGCGUAGAGAUCGGAAGGAACGUCAAUGGCGAAGGCAGCCACCUGGCAUCAUACUGACGCUGAGGCGCGAAAGCGUGGGGAGCGAACAGG